Molecule: ribosomal RNA, 595 nt
Filed under: Salmonella enterica
Lineage: Bacteria; Pseudomonadati; Pseudomonadota; Gammaproteobacteria; Enterobacterales; Enterobacteriaceae
Description: partial 23S ribosomal RNA
Rfam family: Bacterial large subunit ribosomal RNA
Source: RNAcentral
AGACCCGAAACCCGGUGAUCUAGCCAUGGGCAGGUUGAAGGUUGGGUAACACUAACUGGAGGACCGAACCGACUAAUGUUGAAAAAUUAGCGGAUGACCUGUGGCUGGGGGUGAAAGGCCAAUCAAACCGGGAGAUAGCUGGUUCUCCCCGAAAGCUAUUUAGGUAGCGCCUCGUGAAUUCAUCUCCGGGGGUAGAGCACUGUUUCGGCUAGGGGGCCAUCCCGGCUUACCAACCCGAUGCAAACUGCGAAUACCGGAGAAUGUUAUCACGGGAGACACACGGCGGGUGCUAACGUCCGUCGUGAAGAGGGAAACAACCCAGACCGCCAGCUAAGGUCCCAAAGUCAUGGUUAAGUGGGAAACGAUGUGGGAAGGCCCAGACAGCCAGGAUGUUGGCUUAGAAGCAGCCAUCAUUUAAAGAAAGCGUAAUAGCUCACUGGUCGAGUCGGCCUGCGCGGAAGAUGUAACGGGGCUAAACCAUGCACCGAAGCUGCGGCAGCGACACUCAGGUGUUGUUGGGUAGGGGAGCGUUCUGUAAGCCUGCGAAGGUGGCCUGUGAGGGUUGCUGGAGGUAUCAGAAGUGCGAAUGCUGACA